CUAGUUGCAUGAUCAUCAAUAUGUUACUUCUCUGUGCCUUAGUUUCCACAUCUGAAAAUUGAGGGAGUCAGCUACUAAAUUACAAAGAAAUUCCAGCAACCACAAGGAGAGGUCCACAAAGUGAGAGAUUGAACCCUCGAGCUAACAAGCAUGUGAGUGAGACAUGUUGGAAGUGGAUUCUCCAGCUCCAGUCAAGCCUUCAGAUGAAUGCAGCUCCAGCCAACAUCUCACUGCAGCUUUAUGAGAGCCUCUGAGCUGGAGCCACUAGGCCAAGCUGUUCCCAAAUUCCUGACUCUCAGAAACUGUGAAUCUGCAAAAUCUGUCUUAAAGAAAAUGGUCAGUCUUUCCUUUCUUCUAAACAUCUCUGAUUUUUUCAUCUUGUUUCCUGACUAUUCACAGACAGCAACAAUAACAGAUUCUGGAAAGAAGGAUUUGUAGUCGGGCAUUUGUCUGAGAAAACUCUCAGGCUGACUUGCCCAACUGGUAGGGCUGAUUCUAUCAGAUUCCUUAUCCAUACUUUGUUGUUGGAGGAUUUGUCUCAAGGCACCUGGCAAGACCCACAGGAAAUGACACCUGAGAUGUAUACACCACUUGCCUCACUGCUUUAUCCACCAACGGACCCUUUAUCUGGGACCAAAGAUUCUGAGCUGAAAGGGCCCUCAGAGCAGCCAAGGCAUGCAUGAGAAGAGAAGGGCUAUGAAGUGGAAGCUGAGGGAGCGUGGACUGCAGGCUUGGGAGAGGGAGCAUGGUGUCCUGCAGAGCCACAUGCUGGCAGAACUGGGUCUACAGACACAUUUUAUUCAGUCCCUAAAGCACAGAAAGUGAGGACUUCUAAUAUGUGGUACCAGAGUGUGCAGCAAAGAACCUUCUGCAAAGAGCUUUGGCUGCAGAUGUUCAAGAUUUGCCAUGGACUCCAGAACUCUCAAAUCACUUGGAAAUUUGUCUAUGCAGCAUUAUCUGGUGUCAUGCCUGAGAUAUUGAAGGAAAAGCCCCAGCCUUUCAGGGGUUUCUGAGAAGAAU
This 1020-nucleotide long non-coding RNA is filed under the name Homo sapiens (human). Its description in RNAcentral is "long non-coding RNA NONHSAT203429.1". Lineage: Eukaryota; Metazoa; Chordata; Mammalia; Primates; Hominidae. The record is from RNAcentral.